UUUGUAUGAACAUAAAUUCAAGGGGAUUGGUGUUUUCGAUAAAUUAUUUCUCGCAUUUCAUUAUUUGAACACAGUUUCAAAUAUAGAUUCGUUUCUGAACUAAAUACUACAAGGUUGGAGCAAUUUAUUACAAACAUUAGCCCAAAUACAAGCCCUGAGACGUUCGCUCGCAUUGAUUAAACGCAGCUGCAGGUGUAGGUUAACUCAUAACAAAUGCGAGCCCGUACGUAAACUAUGUGGUUUAUUUGAUCAUUAGUUAUCAUAAAGACAUGUUACCCACCUCGUUGUUAGUCCUCCACAGACCAUAGAGCGUCCGGUUAAAUGGCAUUUUACUUUCAACGCUAAUAUAGUUCAGUAAAGGCCGCACCUGUUGCUAACUGAAGCUACUCACCGAGCUAGCUAGCUAGCUUACAUUCCUACGUAAGCUAGCUAGCUAGAUGAUUGGAUUGAUUAGAUUUGUUGGCCUAUUUUACACGGUUCAACCGUUUAGUUAAGAUUAUGAGGACUUAACGGUAGCAGACGAAGCAGUGAGACAGCUAACAGGUUUUAGCUACAUUAGCAUUAAGCCACCUGCUGCUCCAGGCCGUUAAUUACCCGACUAUAACUAGCGUUAGCCUUUGAACACUCCUGAAAUGAUUAGUUUAGAUUAUAUUACAGUAUUUCACUAAGAAAUUGUACAUCUGUACAACUUAAAGUUACGAAAAUAGAUAACUUGUUAUACACAGUAAUAUGAUUUUAUACUGACCUAGACACACGAAUCCACAGUUUUGCGGGGAUGCGGCGUUCAAGGACCAAAGUUCUCCUCUCCUAUUACAGCUCAUGGAUGAAUGGUUUACAUUAGCAAACUGCAAUGGGUGGAAGUGGACACGACUGACGUGUGUAGAGGAAGCCGCGGGGUCAGGGCGAGUUGAACCUCAUGUCAGAAUUGUCCCCGCGCUGACCUGCGCCUGACUGGCCUCCAAGCAAAAAGCCCCUGUGAAGGAGGCGAAGGGAGGCUGCGCUGAUCUGAAGGUGAAAAACACCCUCCUCCGCUCCCCCCAGCUGGAACAUCUGUCUCUGCGAUCUUGGCUGCAGCGGCGGCUGUGACACCUCCAGAUGGAGAGCCCUCUGGGAGCGCUGAGGUAUUACCUGCAGAGAUGCCAGGGAUCACACCUCUGGAAUGAAGUCCCACACUUGUUUUCGGCGCCGUUCCCCAUUCUGUUGUUGGAUCUGUCACAAUUCACCAGAUCAAUUGCCACCUCCUCAGUCCUUGGCCUUGUGACUCGACUGAAGACGAAGCUUUUGGCUUGUGAAGAAAUGCAUGGCAGCAAACCUCUCAGCCCUUUUCUAAUUUACAGUAAUGGGCCGUAUGGUAUUUCAUCUGUAACUUCUAUUCGUAGAAUUGUAUUAAUUUUUAAUAUAGUUGUGAGAGUACUGCAUAUUUGGAAUGAUCGUUGAUUUCCAUUUCCUAGAUACAUGUUUUCCAGAGACAUAGAACAGUUUAAAGUUCAUUGGCUAAAUGACCUGCAGCCUUAUUAGUCUAAAUAUUAAAGCAAUACCUGUAAGAAUGGACUCGGCGAGAGGCCUUGAGUUAACUUCUUCCAGCCACUCUGAGCUAUUCUAGUGCUUUGACAAAUUGACUCCGCAUUCAUAUGGGCCUGAACUCUGCGUGAACCUCGGCUUUAGGAAGAAGGGCACCAAACAGGCCGGGGCUGCUGGGGCAGAAAGACUGUGUGCAGACCCAACACCCAGUGCAAAUAUUGAAACUGCGGCCCAUUUAGCCUUCGCACCAAAGCAAGCGGCCGGUGUCAGCAAAUGUUUAGCUAAAAACCCCAAAACGAGCACGGAGGUGUGGAAUCAUCACCUCAGCUGCUCCGGUUGAAAAAGGGUCCGUCUGUAUAAAAGCUACUGAACCUAAAUCUGGGUGAAAUAAGUGGCGUUAUGAAGCAACCUGUGUCAAUACCUAAGAAUUUGGGUAACAAAUCAAGGGAGGGACUAGCUGGGGUUUGUUGUCAUGUUUAGAGCCCCUGGAGGUAUUUUGAGGUGAAAA
Betta splendens (Siamese fighting fish) is the source of this 2029-nucleotide long non-coding RNA. RefSeq lists it as uncharacterized. NCBI's taxonomy places the organism in Eukaryota, Metazoa, Chordata, Actinopteri, Anabantiformes, Osphronemidae. The transcript has 4 exons. The record is from RefSeq and is a predicted model, not a curated record.